RNAcentral lists this ribosomal RNA (491 nucleotides) under uncultured bacterium. RNAcentral's name for it is "partial 16S ribosomal RNA". It matches the Rfam family "Bacterial small subunit ribosomal RNA", at positions 29 to 506 of the family's 1533-position model. The record is from RNAcentral.
AGUGAACGCUGGCGGUAGGCCUAACACAUGCGAGUCGAACGGCAGCACAGUAAGGGCUUGCUCUUACGGGUGGCGAGUGGCGGACGGGUGAGGAAUACAUCGGAAUCUACUUUUUCGUGGGGGAUAACGUAGGGAAACUUACGCUAAUACCGCAUACGACCUACGGGUGAAAGCAGGGGAUCUUCGGACCUUGCGCGAUUGAAUGAGCCGAUGUCGGAUUAGCUAGUUGGCGGGGUAAAGGCCCACCAAGGCGACGAUCCGUAGCUGGUCUGAGAGGAUGAUCAGCCACACUGGAACUGAGACACGGUCCAGACUCCUACGGGAGGCAGCAGUGGGGAAUAUUGGACAAUGGGCGCAAGCCUGAUCCAGCCAUACCGCGUGGGUGAAGAAGGCCUUCGGGUUGUAAAGCCCUUUUGUUGGGAAAGAAAAGCAGCAGGUUAAUACCCCGCUGUUCUGACGGUACCCAAAGAAUAAGCACCGGCUAACUUCGU